UUUUUGGAGAGUUUGAUCCUGGCUCAGAGUGAACGCUGGCGGCGUGGAUUAGGCAUGCAAGUCGAGCGAACCCGCAAGGGUUAGCGGCAAAAGGGUGAGUAACACGUAAGUAAUCUUCCUUUAAAACGGGGAUAGCACCGUGAAAACGGUGGUAAUAUUCGAUAGAAUCGAGAGUCCGCAUGGACAUUCGAUUAAAGGUGGGGAUCCUUCGGGACCUGCCACUUGGGGAUGAGCUUGCGUACCAUCAGCUAGUUGGUAGGGUAAUGGCCUACCAAGGCUAAGACGGUUA
This 289-nucleotide ribosomal RNA is filed under the name Candidatus Omnitrophota bacterium. RNAcentral's name for it is "Candidatus Omnitrophica bacterium (sediment metagenome) partial 16S ribosomal RNA". It matches the Rfam family "Bacterial small subunit ribosomal RNA", at positions 1 to 285 of the family's 1533-position model. Lineage: Bacteria; Pseudomonadati; Candidatus Omnitrophota. The record is from RNAcentral.